RNAcentral lists this ribosomal RNA (440 nucleotides) under uncultured bacterium. RNAcentral's name for it is "partial 16S ribosomal RNA". It matches the Rfam family "Bacterial small subunit ribosomal RNA", at positions 339 to 795 of the family's 1533-position model. The record is from RNAcentral.
CUACGGGUGGCUCCAGUAAAGAAUCUUCCGCAAUGGACGAAAGUCUGACGGAGCAACACCGCGUGAUUGAUGACGGCCUUCGGGUUGUAAAGAUCUUUUCUGGGGGAAGAACUCUGACGGUACCCUAGGAAUAAGCACCGGCUAAAUUCGUGCCAGCAGCCGCGGUAAUACGAAUGGUGCAAGCGUUACCCGGAAUUAUUGGGCGUAAAGCGUCCGUAGGCGGCGCAUCAAGUUGGAUGUUAAAUGUCCCAGCUCAACUGGGAACUUGUUUCCAAAACUGAUGUGCUAGAGGUUUGGAGAGGUGAGUGGAAUUCGGUGUGUAGGGGUAAAAUCCGUAGAUACACCGAGGAACACCAAAAGCGAAGGCAGCUCACUGGCCAAAUUCUGACGCUCAGGGACGAAAGCGUGGGGAGCGAAGAGGAUUAGAUACCCGCGUAGUC